UGUGGCGGUCGUGGAAUUGCUGGAGUUGACUUUGGAGGUCGUAAAGAACCUCUGCGGUGAAACCUGUGUUGCCUCAUCUUCCCCUGGUAACGGGUGUUCCAUCAUUGGAGGAGCGUAACUUCCGGGUUGUGGGCUCGAGGCACAUCACCUCAGUUGAUGUGUGUAUGUGUUGCACGGGUGUCUGUGUGGUAAGAGUGUGUGCAGGUAGUUUCCAGCAGCAAAGCAGCAGCUGACCAGCGGUACGAUAUUGUGGACUGGCUCUGCAGCCCUUCACUCUCCAGCAGUGAGUAACUGUAUUGGUGUUCCAUCAUUGGAGGAGCGUAACUUCCGGGUUGUGGGCUCGAGGCACAUCACCUCAGGGAGUGGUCUGCUGCUGCUUUGCUGCUUGCUGGUUUUGCUGUGUACUUCGCGGUUCAACUUGCUGCCGGCCCGAAACUUUGUGCUGUUUGCUACGCUACCUGCUGUUUGCUACGCUACCUGCUCUCGGCCGCGCCACCUCACUGGUUCUGCUGUUCUCUCUCGCUGCUCUGCUACUCCUCUACGGCUUCUUCCUGUCGGGAGAUCAGUGUGCUUGCCGCUUGUGGUGUUUGUUGUCUGGGUGAGUCUGUAUGCGUGUUUCAAACGUGGUUAGCGUAAGCGUGCGUGUGUAGUGUAACCUAGCAUCAAUAUUUGGUUCCUGCAUAGCGAAUGUGUGUAUGUGUGUGACUGUCGUCCACGGGCGCUUUCUUGUUUGUUUGGUUGUCUGUCUGUCUGUCUGUCUGUCUCUGUCUGUCUGUCCGCCUGUCAGUGUGUAUACUUUUUGUAUUGUCUUUUAUUGUUUCUGUG
Molecule: long non-coding RNA, 825 nt
Organism: Sardina pilchardus (European sardine)
Lineage: Eukaryota; Metazoa; Chordata; Actinopteri; Clupeiformes; Clupeidae
Exons: 5
Source: RefSeq, a predicted model, not a curated record